AAUGUAGCGUAUAGGUUUGGCCAAAUUUUAGGUCGUACACUACAUAAAACCCAAAGUUUACCUUGAACGGGACCACGAUCCAUAGAAGGUGUCAGACCUGUACGGGUUGUGUUUGUGUACGAUUGGUCAUACUUUAGAGUCGGGUUGCCUGAGAUCGCAGCCCAAAUUGGGUGGUAGACUUCAUCUAAGGCUAAAUAUGGCCACGAGACCGAUAGCGAACAAGUACCGUGAGGGAAAGUUGCAAAGAACUUUGAAGAGAGAGUUCAAGAGGGCGUGAAACCGCUGAGAAUGAAGCGGAUAGAGUCGACGAAACUUAAUCAGUAUUCAACCAACACGUUAAACGGUUUCACGCACGUGCGUCAUGUUAUGCAAAUUUCGUGACGUUCAUCGUGCGUGCAUUAACUGUAUAAUGUAAAUGCUGGUGUAUUUACUGAUUGUAUGCAUUGAGAGCUUCGUAUUAUUAGCGCACGAAGAAACUCAACCAAUAGAGGCUUGUUGAAUUAGAAAUUUUUUUCUAUUCGACGAUAACCUAUUGAAGUUGAAAAGCGUGUCGCAUAUGAAGUUUGCGAAUAACGCACGCAAUUAAUCACCACAAUUUAGCAAUAAAUAAAAAUGUUGUUGAUUGUGUUUGUGUAUUCAAAGCGCUCUCCUCUUAUCGUUUUUUUUUUAA
This 670-nucleotide ribosomal RNA is filed under the name Serpinema sp. g RS-2021. Its description in RNAcentral is "partial large subunit ribosomal RNA". It matches the Rfam family "Eukaryotic large subunit ribosomal RNA", at positions 142 to 782 of the family's 3401-position model. Lineage: Eukaryota; Metazoa; Nematoda; Chromadorea; Rhabditida; Camallanidae. RNAcentral also lists the same sequence under 1 other name. The record is from RNAcentral.